Molecule: long non-coding RNA, 340 nt
Filed under: Citrus x clementina
Lineage: Eukaryota; Viridiplantae; Streptophyta; Magnoliopsida; Sapindales; Rutaceae
Description: Citrus clementina (C. clementina) long non-coding RNA (CCLE_LNC004723)
Source: RNAcentral
CAUUAAUAAAAAUUAUCAUGUGAAUGCAUUUAAAAACUAUUUACCCUUUUAAGUCAUUUCAUAUAAGGAUGAAAUAAAUAUUAGAAUAAAAGUGAUUAGUCUGCUGAUGAAAUAUAAUGAGGAAUCAAAUAUCACAACUCAAAAGAAAAAAAAAGAGCCAUCGUUUGGCUUGACGGGAUCUAAAAUUAUCUAAAAUUAAGCCUAAAGAAAAAUUCGACAUCAUUGUGCCCCCAUUACAAAUAAAUUAAUCUUGACAAACUCAACAGCAAGGGUGAGUAGGGGACCAAAAUCCAUUUUAGACUUCGCAUUCACACUUCUAACCUAGAUUAAAAAAUGGAAU